CCAAUAGCGUAUAUUAAAGUUGUUGCAGUUAAAAAGCUCGUAGUUGAAUUUCGGGAUCAGUUGGUCGGUCGUGCCUCGGUACGUACUGGUCAAAUUGAUUCCUACCUUCUGACGAACCACGAUGUCAUUAAUUUGGUGUCGCGGGAAAUCAGGACUGUUACUUUGAAAAAAUUAGAGUGUUUAAAGCAGGCUCGCGCUUGAAUACAUUAGCAUGGAAUAAUGAAAUAGGACGUUUGAUUCUAUUUUGUUGGUUUCUAGGAUCGACGUAAUGAUUAAUAGGGAUAGUUGGGGGCAUUAGUAUUCAAUUGUCAGAGGUGAAAUUCUUGGAGUUAUUGAAGACUAACUACUGCGAAAGCAUUUGCCAAGGAUGUUUUCAUUAAUCAAGAACGAAAGUUAGGGGAUCGAAGACGAUCAGAUACCGUCGUAGUCUUAACCAUAAACUAUGCCGACUAGGGAUCGGAUGAUGUUAAUUUUUUAAUGACUCAUUCGGCGCCUUACG
RNAcentral lists this ribosomal RNA (499 nucleotides) under uncultured Glomus. RNAcentral describes it as "SSU rRNA". It matches the Rfam family "Eukaryotic small subunit ribosomal RNA", at positions 591 to 1092 of the family's 1831-position model. Lineage: Eukaryota; Fungi; Glomeromycota; Glomeromycetes; Glomerales; Glomeraceae. The record is from RNAcentral.